Molecule: transfer RNA, 72 nt
Filed under: Phrynosoma platyrhinos (Desert horned lizard)
Lineage: Eukaryota; Metazoa; Chordata; Lepidosauria; Squamata; Phrynosomatidae
Description: tRNA-OTHER
Source: RNAcentral
GUCAAGGUGGCAUAGUGGUUUGAGCAUUGAACUAUGACUCUGGAUACCAGGGUUUGAAUCCCUGCUCAGCCA